RNAcentral lists this ribosomal RNA (553 nucleotides) under uncultured bacterium. Its description in RNAcentral is "bacterial SSU rRNA". It matches the Rfam family "Bacterial small subunit ribosomal RNA", at positions 366 to 916 of the family's 1533-position model. The record is from RNAcentral.
GGUCUGACGCAGCCUGAUCAGCCAUGCCGCGUGCGGGAAGAAGGCCUUCGGGUUGUAAACCGCUUUUGUCAGGGAAGAAAAGGUUCUGGCUAAUACCUGGGACUCAUGACGGUACCUGAAGAAUAAGCACCGGCUAACUACGUGCCAGCAGCCGCGGUAAUACGUAGGGUGCAAGCGUUAAUCGGAAUUACUGGGCGUAAAGCGUGCGCAGGCGGUUAUGCAAGACAGAGGUGAAAUCCCCGGGCUCAACCUGGGAACUGCCUUUGUGACUGCAUGGCUAGAGUACGGUAGAGGGGGAUGGAAUUCCGCGUGUAGCAGUGAAAUGCGUAGAUAUGCGGAGGAACACCGAUGGCGAAGGCAAUCCCCUGGACCUGUACUGACGCUCAUGCACGAAAGCGUGGGGAGCAAACAGGAUUAGAUACCCUGGUAGUCCACGCCCUAAACGAUGUCAACUGGUUGUUGGGAGGGUUUCUUCUCAGUAACGUAGCUAACGCGUGAAGUUGACCGCCUGGGGAGUACGGCCGCAAGGUUGAAACUCAAUGAAAUUUGACGG